This 91-nucleotide non-coding RNA is filed under the name Cuneatibacter caecimuris. Lineage: Bacteria; Bacillati; Bacillota; Clostridia; Lachnospirales; Lachnospiraceae. The record is from RNAcentral.
CGGCACCAUUAGCCGUAGUAACAACGAACUGUGAGAAGUCAGCAGAAGCCAUAGUAGGCAGUCUUUGAAAGCCAGAGAUAAGCCAAAGGGC